UACGAAGGGGGCUAGCGUUGCUCGGAAUCACUGGGCGUAAAGCGCACGUAGGCGGCUUAUUAAGUCAGGGGUGAAAUCCUGGAGCUCAACUCCAGAACUGCCUUUGAUACUGAUGAGCUUGAGUUCGGGAGAGGUGAGUGGAACUGCGAGUGUAGAGGUGAAAUUCGUAGAUAUUCGCAAGAACACCAGUGGCGAAGGCGGCUCACUGGCCCGAUACUGACGCUGAGGUGCGAAAGCGUGGGGAGCAAACAGG
Molecule: ribosomal RNA, 253 nt
Filed under: uncultured bacterium
Lineage: Bacteria
Description: partial 16S ribosomal RNA
Rfam family: Bacterial small subunit ribosomal RNA
Source: RNAcentral